This is a long non-coding RNA of Lactuca sativa (garden lettuce), 869 nucleotides long. RefSeq lists it as uncharacterized. The record is from RefSeq and is a predicted model, not a curated record. NCBI's taxonomy places the organism in Eukaryota, Viridiplantae, Streptophyta, Magnoliopsida, Asterales, Asteraceae.
UUGGUCAUUAGUGGUCGUGUAGUCUGUAUGUCUUGGCUGCCAACAUUCACAAAACACAAUUCACAAGCACACACUUCAAGUCUUCAAUUGCAUCCUCGCUGCAGGCUUGCAGCCUACUUGAUUCAAUCGUAAAUCGUUCUUCGCUUCUCGCAAUCUCGCUACAUCGCUCCAGCCUCCAGCUUAACUCGUUCUUACUUCAAUCGCACACUUCAAUCGACGACGUGUUCCAUUCAGUGUCCAAUUGUCCAUAGUGAACACCGACGACUCGUUUCUUUGGAUCCGACAUACCUGCGACGACUUCUCCGACUCCACAACGAGUCAGCGACAACUUCUCCGGCUCCACAGGUCCGAUUCUCUAUUUCCUUUCGCUAUGCUGAUUAACGAUUCCUUAUUACCUAUGCUGAUUAACGAUUCCUUCUUUCCUUUCGCUAUGAGAUGCUUUCAUUUACUCACUGAUGACACGAUAUUAGGAGCAAGGCUAGCCAAUAAUGGAACAACAACAGCGCAUAGAUUUGGAUCGUGAAAGUGAUGUUGAGCAACAGAACACUCAAUCGGUUGGGGACAAAAGAACAGCAAACGUUUGGCAUAAAUAUGUUGAUAUUAGAGAUCCAAAGACUAACAAAAUUGUAAAAGCCCAAUGUAAAUUUUGCUCUAGAGUGUUGAACGUUGUUACAAAAAAUGGUACUUCUGAUGAUCGUGGGAAGGCGAAUGCUUGAUUGUACACAUUCUCCUGCAGUUUCUGACUCCGGAUAUUUUGGGACACUUUAAUAUUUUUACGAUGAUUUGUAUUUGAUACUUGAGAUUUUCUUGAGAUAGGUUUUAUAAACAAUGUUUUUAGUUAAUUAAAAAUGAAAAUUUUGUUUUGAAAA